UGUCGUUGUCGUCCUCCAGGACGCCGUUAUUGAAGUCUUCAAGGCAGCACAAAAUGUUCUUCACUUGUAAAUCAAACAUCAUGUCGUCGCGCGAUCGACGGGCGGGGCGCGGGAGGACAGCAACUGGCGCCGCUGAGAGGUAGCAGUCGACGGCAGCGUCCCAUGCCGUUAAGGGGGCGCGCAUGGGCACAUGCGCGGCGGGUGCAGCCAAACGCACGGGGACCACGCCGCGGUGGGUGGAGGGGCAACCACGGGCGCGGCGGGUGCAGCCAAACGCAUGGGGUCCGGCGCCACGGUGGUUGGAGGGGCGCACACAGGCAUGGGCGCUGGCGCUAGCAUGUACAUGAGCUCGCGCGGGUCCACGGAGACCUCGCUGACGCCCGCGGCUUCUAGCUCUGCGAUAGUGCUCGGCGACCAGCCCGUCAAUACUACGGGGAUGGUCGCUGGCGCGGGCUCGGGGAUGGGAGCUGGGACGGGAGAGGGGGCAGCAACCGUCGCGGUCAGCUCGUUCUAGGCCAUGUCCAUGAGGCCCCAUUCCUCCUUAUUUUCUAUAUCCUCUGGCUCAAUAUCAACUUCACCAAACUUGAAGACUAGUGGUAGAUGAUCAUUCUGCGCCAUGCCGGUGGAGGUCUGCGGGGGGAGGGGAAUGGGAGGCGAACAGUAAGGCCGCCCGUAUUAAACAGCGGCUCGGGCGCCAUUAAUGGAGAGGAAGGCGGGCGGCCAUGGAAGUCAAAGGGCUCGCUUCCCGAUGAGCCUGCGCAGCAUACAGCUCACACGCUUCCCGGUGAGCCUACGCAUUGGAGGACAGAUUGCACGCCUCUCGGUUAGCCUGUGCACCGGACUGCGCUCGCACGCCUCCUGUUCAGUCAAGGUCAAGUAGCUGUCCGCACGGCACCUCCUACAGCCAUUAAAACCAAGACAUGUGGUGUCACGUGAAUGGUUAACAGAAUGCACAUGAUUUUAAUUAUACAAAUGUUUGUGAUAUUAAAGUGGCAGCUACUUUUUCAAAAUGCCUUUGUUGGCUGUCAUUAUUCGAGUGCGCCUUCUCUCAAAAUGGACACAAAAAAUACCACAUCAUGUCGGGUGCCAUUCCAUGAUAGCAUGCCAAGUUUCAUGAAGUUCAGACGAGUUUUGGAUUUACUAGAAUUUAAAAACCAGGCAUCUCAAUGUUUUGUCGCCAAUCAACGGUGCCCUCGUGUUUGAAAUUCAUUCCCAUUUCUUGCAUGGGACCUAAGCAUGCACCCAAGGACACAGAUUUGAUUUUUCAACCAAUUUAUAUGCACUGGAGCAUGUGCAUGUAGUUCAAAUUUGAAUUAUGCACAUAAAUGCAUUGAAAAACUCAGUUAAUGCAUAAAAAUGUCCAAAAGAACCCCAAAAAAUUAGAAAAAUUGACACAACACUCUUGUUGUUCUAUGUUGACACAAGAAAAAAAUUGGAAGCAAUAAGAGGCAGUGGAUAUCGUUUCAUCCCCAAAGGUGGGACGUUCCCUACCGAAACCAUGAUGCUUGUUGUGAGAAGCUCUGGUUUGUGAGAAGCAUAUACCCAAACCUUCCCCAAACGGGACAAAAAUUUUACCACGGCAUGUUGAUGCUGCUCCAUGAAAGCAUUCCAAGUUUCAUGAAUUUCAGACGAGUUUUGGAUUUACUAGAAUUUAAAAACAAGGCAUCUCAAUGUCUUGCCGGCAAUCAACGAUGCCCUGGUGUUUAAAAUUCAUUCCCAUUUCUUGCAUGGGACCUAAGCAUACACCCAAGGACACAGAUUUGAUUUUUCAACCAAUUUAUAUGCACUGGAGCAUGUGCAUGUAGUUCAAAUUUGAAUUGUGCACAUAAAUGCAUUGAAAACUCAGUUAAUGCAUAAAAUGUCCAAACGAACCCCAAAAAUGCACAUAGCACUCCUAUUGUUCUAUGUUGACAUGAGAAAAUCUUUUAAAGCAAUAAGAGGCAAUGGAUAUCAUUUCAUCCCCAAAGGUGGGAUGUUCCCUACCGAAACCAUCAUGCUUGUUGUAAGAAGCUCUGGUUUGUGAGAAGCAUAUACCCGAACCUGCCCCAAAUGGGACAAAUUUUUUAACACGGCAUGUUGAUGCCGCUCCAUGAUAGCAUGCCAAGUUUCAUGAAUUUCAAACGAGUUUUGGAUUUACUAGAAUUUAAAAACUAGGCAUUUCAAUGUUUUGCCGGCAAUCAACAGUGCCCUGGUGUUUGAAUUUCAUUCCCAUCUCUUGCAUGGGACCUAGAAAUUCACCCAAGGACACACAUGUUAUUUUUCAACCAACUUUUGUGCAUUGGAGCAUGUGCUUGUAGUUCAAAUCUGAAUUAUGCACAUAAAAUGCCUAGAAGACCUAGUUAAUGUGUAAAAAAGGCCAAACGAACCCUGAAAAAUUCAUUCCCAUUUCUUCCAUGGGACCUAAGCAUGCACUGAAGGACACGGAUUUGAUUUUUCAACCAGUUUGUAUGCACCGGAGCAUGUGCAUGUAGUUUAAUUUUGAAUUGUGCACCUGAAAUGGCUAGAAAACCAGUUUAAUGUAUGAAAUGUCCAAAAGAACCCUAAAUAAUUCCAAUUCUUUUACGACACACAUACAGUUGCAUAUUCACUGCAGAUAAAAGGUCUAGCAAUUCAAACACCGUCCAUUGCCGUUGUGACCCCAUUUUGUAAUUCAAAUCAAGUAGAUCCCACACAGUUUAUUCUCACCAACCGUGUGAGAUGUACUACAAAAUAUCUUGGAGUGUUGUCAGUAUGUAGUACGCCUAUGGCUUACGCGAGAAGGUGUGUCGGCUACAGUCCACAGCCGGCGUGUCAAGCACACUAGCUUGCUCCCCCAAAACUCCCACCUCUGCAUCACUCGCAAUGUCGAAAAUAUCUACCGCCUGGAAGGUUUUAAUGUUUGAUAGCACAUGAUUAGUAUGUGCGGACCGUGUGCGAUGUCUGUUACUCCCUCUCUGCUUCAGUCCCUUGAUUCAAAUUUUCAGUAGCCCUGGCAUUUUACUCCCGCCUCUGCAUCCCUCGCAAUCUCAAAAAUAUCUGCUCGCCCUUGAUCCAAAUUUUAGGUAGCCCCGCCUUGUUACUCCCGCCUAGUAAAAUUUUCAGUUGCCACAGUAUUUCCUCAAACACAACCUCCGCUCACACAAACACACACAACCCUCGAAACCAUUGGUAGGUCGCCCCCAUCGCCGGCGCCUCCAUCCUCAACCUAUGCCUAUGUGUCGGGGAGCUUGAGUAGCCAAUGGCCAAAAAGAGGUUUAUCGCGACCUUUUCGCCUGACGCCGGCAAGGUGGCCGCCGAGGUGUCCCCGUCAUCCUCCGCGGGCCCGAUCCACCCGCCGCCGCGCCCCUGCGCCGGUUUGAGGACUUCCCUAUCCUCCCCCGGACCCGGCAGCUGACGAAGUCCUACUUCGAGGUUCGGCAGCGGCUGUGGGGGACAUGGGUCGCCAAGAUUACAGAUCGAGAUACCCACACCCGCCGGUGGCUCGAUAGCUUCCACACGGCUGAGCUCGUGGCCAUGGAGUACGAUCGCUGGCAAGUCCAUUACCACGGCGCGGUGACUAAGCUCAAUUUCCCCUUCUGCACACGUCCGUUCCACCUCGUUCCGCCAAAGCCAGGGUGGUGAGCUCGGCUAUGGCGUGGGAGGACCGCGAGGCGUGGGAGCAUCUCGAGGCCGAGGCCGCCGACGAGGCCUACCUGCAAGAGCUCCACCGGCAGCACCCAGAGCUCGUGGAGGCGGAGUGGGCGAUCUUUGCCGGCAGGGAGGGCGGCAAGGUUAUUACGCUCUCCUCCGAUGACGAGGUCGAAGGCAGCGAGGUCGGCUGCGCGGAGGGCGGCGAGGUUAUCACGCUCUCCUCUGAUUACGAGGUCGAAGGCGACUGCGGCCCAGAGGGCAUCGAGGUGGGCCCCGAGGACGAGGAGAUCGACGUCGACGAGUAGAGGAGUGCCUUCCCCAAUGACCCCCGACGACAGUACUGGCCCGGACCCGGCUCGCGGCACACCGUACAUGACGAGGAAAGAUUGGCUCGACCUCUACUUGGACCGAAAGUAGUUUAGCUUAGUUUAAAUUUAUGUUUUAUGUUUGGUUAUGCAAAACUAUCUAUGUUUAUGUUUGAAUGCAUGCUACUUUUGGUUGAACCUGCUUUGAACUUGAUCAAAUUUAAGUUUACAACCUUAAGUUUAGGGGAUCGACUAGAAAAGGCCGAAAAUUGCUGGCGUAUGUAUAUAUCCACCAAGGGUUUUAGUCCUUUAACUUUUUAAGGAUCACCUAGAGAUGUCCUUAUGACUUGUUUAUUUCAGUUCUUCACAAUGUGAUGCUCUAUUUGUGCAACUAUUUGUUGUGCAGUUCAAUUUCAUUAAUAACAGUUUCAACAAUACCACUAUGAAUUACGAUAUUUGGUUACUGUUAAGGAUAUUGCAGUUAACAUGCCUUUUCGUUUUUCAGUUGUUGUUUAGCAACAUGCAUUGUACUGAAUGACUAAAUAUGCAAUCCCAGGCUACAUAGCAACAAGGAAGAGUAUUACCUUAAUGUUCUGAUGAUGUCUAGAUAUACAUGUAAUAAAAUCUUAUAUAAUGGGAUGGAUGGAGUGUUGUACUACAUCAUUUUUCAAUUGUUGUUUAGCUUCUAAUAUUAUCUUGGUGCUUUUAGGUACAUAUAUCAUUGCCAAAGAUCCACACUUCGACCCUUUCUGCGUAUGGGGCAAUGAGAUAUUCAUGAACCAGCAUCAAGUGAGGAAACUGAUAAAGAUUGUUACUAAAAUGGGUCAAAAGAUGUCAAUCAAACUAUUUGUUUACACUUUAUGCAAGACAACAGUGAACUGCAAGAUGGUAAGUAAGAACCCUAUAGCCUUCUUUUUACUGCCCGUAAUGAGUUGUGUUAGAUGACAAUAUCUGAAUCUUUUUUCUUUUGCAGUGAUCCUGAAGCAGUUUACUCAAGAUUACCUCUCAAACUACAUGAUUGGCGGCCGGCCAUCACACGGGGUUGGACUAGAGUCCUGCAUGCCUUCUGCAUCUAGGAGAGCACAAUAGGGUCAUUCCGCUUCACCUUGUUCAUCAACUGGAAUGUCUGUCACCUCUUUCUUUACCAUCUAAUAGUACAAGUAUAGAACCCUGGUACAUCAUUCUGUAUUUGGUGCUUCUGUAAUUCUUAAACAUAUGUACCUGUGAAUUGAAUAAUGCAUUGGUUGUUUGAACCUGAUGGAUAUGAAUAAAGCUAUAGCCUACUUUCAAGUUUAAAUUAGGUACAAUUUUAAAUAGUAGCAAUUAAAUUAGGGCGAAAUUACGUUGUGCGGGUCAUUACGGCACACACACGGUUGGUAAAACACAAACGUUUGCGAUAUACACCAUAAUCUGAGAUGGUUCACGGAGAGGAAACGUGUGCAAGAAUGCACAUAGUUGCCGUUUGCAAAGCGUGUGUGGUGUCAGACACUAUCACAUACGGUGCGGGAAAACUAAAUGUGUGUGAUUGUCUACCUAUCAUACACGAUUUAUAAUCAUGAACUAUUUGUGAUGUGCCAGGCAUCGUAAAUCUCCCGUGCCUAGAAUCUGCCUAGAAAACUGUCGUGCCUGGAAUCUGCCUGGUUUUAGGCAGAACCACAAUACUCCGACUGUGAUGGCAAUGCAAGCACAAACGAGUGGCAAGGAUGAAGCGUUUGGGAUAUUCGAGAUAUCGGAAACGGUUAUACGGGGACAACUGUAUGCAUCAAGGCUCUCUAUCUCCGACGGUUUCUGGGUCAUGUGGGAAGGACCCCCUAUCGUCCACACUCACUUGGAGACGGUUCCAUAUGCCGUUCCCAAAAGGGGUUAAAAACCGUUUGUUUAGGACUGGCGCGCACCAGCGUUAUUGAAACUGAAACGGGGUAGGAAGCAGGGGAAAACGAUGAAAGAUACAGCAGUAGCGCUGGGAUAGCAAAGCGCUACAUCUAACUAAUAGUAGCGUGUUCCCGAAAAGCGUUGCUGAUAUAGUCAAUAGUAGUAGCGCGGGUACAGACCACGCUACUACUAACAGUUAGCUGUAGCGCCGUAGUAGUAGCGCGGCCACCCGCGCUGCUGAUAGCCUCAAAACCCGUGCUACUACUAGGGUUUUCCCUAGUGGUGAUAGAUUAGUUAGGACUAAUUUACCCUUCGUAGGCAAGUAAAUCAGUUAGUUUAGGAAAGUAAGAGAUACAUGAAACCAAGAGAGAGAGAGAGAGAGAGAUAAUUUCCUUCCUUUACUACAAGGAGAGAUACACACAAUUACGAAAAAAGAUAUUUUACUUUUUUCAGAGGGCUAAAAAGGGAAUUAUGAGGAAUUAUAAGAAAUGCACCUUACAUUGUGGAAUUUUAUCAAAAAAACAAAUGCACCUUAUAUAAAGGAACAGAGGGAGUACUUGAGUGUGCAUCAUGCCAUGUUUAUGUGAUGGUUGUUUACUGUGUUGUUUGCUUCUUUCCGGUUGUGGUUCUUCUCGAUAGUUCCCUAUAACGAUGCGAUUGUGAGGAUUCAUUCGACUAUGCUCAUUCGUCUUCUUCAUGGAUUCGGUCUUCUUUCUAGAGUGAUUUCAGGCAAGAUGACAAUUACCUUGGCUAUCACUACUAUCUUUGCUUGCUAGUUGUCUCGAUGCUAUCUCUAUGUCUUGCUACCUACCACUUGUUUGUUAAGCCUCACAAAUUGCCAUGAUACGGCCUCUAACCUCCACUAUCCCAGCAAAGCGUUGUUUGGCUAUGUUACCACUUUGCUCAGCCCCUCUUAUAGCAUUGCUAGUUGCAGGUGCAGUGCAGGUUGUUCCAUGUUGGGACAUGGAUAUCAUGGGAUAUUACAAUAUCUCUUAUUUAACUAGUGCAUCUAUAUACUCAGUAAAGGGUGGAAGGCUCGGCCUUUUGCUUGGUGUUUUGUUCCACUCUUGCCGCCCUAGUUUCCAUCAUACUAGUGUUAUGUUCCAUGAUGAGCGUUCCUAACAUGUGUGGGGUUUUAUGGGGACCCCCUGAUCAUUCGCUUAGGAUAAAACUCUUCCAGCAAGGCCCAACUUUGGUUUUAAAAUUUGCCAACAUAAUAAUUCUUUAUUAAUUAAAUUAAUGCAUAGGGAGUUAGAUCCGUCCGCGGAUUCUUAGUUCAACAUAAUAGAGGUGGUCCAGCGCUAAUGGUGUUGGUCCAAAAUGGGCAGACUUCGGGGCCAUCGUGAUGGCUCGUGUCCGCGUCAGUAUGUUCCCCGAAGAGGAAGGGAUGAUGCAGCACAGCUACGGUGGGUAUUUCCCUUAGUGAUGAUACCAAGGUUAUCGAACCAGUAGGAGAACCACGCAACACUAUGUAAAUGGUACCUGCACACAAAGAAGAAAUACUUGCAACCCGAUGCGUAAGAGGGGUUGUCAAUCCCUCCCAGGUAAAAGAUAGAUAAAUAUGUAGUAGAUUAGAUAAAUAGAUCUCACGGGAAAGUGAAAUAAAAUAAAUAACAAAAAUUUGCAGCAAGGUAUUUUUUGGUUUUUGGAUUAAUAGAUGUGAAAAUAAAAGAGGAAAAUAAUAUAUCGAAAAGCAAAUAUGAUAAAGAAUAGACUCGGGGGCGUAGAUUUCACUAGUGGCUUCUCUCGAGAAAAAUAGCAUACGGCGGGUAAACAAAUUACUGUUAGGUCAUUGAUAGAACUUCAAAUAAUUAUGAUGAUAUCUAGGCAAUGAUCAUUAUAUACGCAUCACGUCCAAGAUUAGUAGACCGACUCCUGCCUACAUCUACAACUAUUACUCCACACAUCGACCGCUAUCCAGCAUACAUCUAGUGUAUUAAGUUUAUGGAGAAACGGAGUAAUGCAAUAAGAACGAUGACAUGAUGUAGACAAGAACUAUUCAUGUUGGAAUAGACCCCAGCUUGUUAUCCUUAAUAGCAACGAUUCAUAUGUGUCAUCUCCCCUUCUAUCACUGGGAUUGAGCACCAUAGGACCGAACCCAUCAGAAAGCACCUCUUCCCAUGGUAAAAAAAAAUUGAUCUAGUUGGCCUAACUAAACCAAAGAUUCGAAGAAGAAAUACGAGGCUAUAAGUAAUCGUGCAUAUAAGAGAUCAAAACUCAAAUAACCUUCAUGGAUAAAAUAGAUCUGAUCAUAAACUCAAAGUUCAUCGGAUCCCAACAAACACACCGCAAAAGAGUUACAUCAAAUAGAUCUCCAAGAGACCAUUGUAUUGAGAAUGAAAAGAGAGAGGAAGCCAUCUAGCUACUGCCUAUGGACUUGUAGGUCUACAAUGAACUACUCACGCAUCAUCGGAGAGGCACCAGUGAGAAUGAUGAACCCCUCCGUGAUGGUGUCUAGAUUGGAUCUCAUGGUACUGGAACUUGCAAAGGUUGGAAUUGUGUUUCGUCGACUCCCCUACGUUUUUUGGAUUUUCGGGGUAUUUAUAGAGCAAAGAGGUGGUGCGGGAGGCCACCGAGGUGGGCACAACCCACCAGGGCACGCCUGGGCCCCCAGGCACGCCCAGGUGGGUUGUGCCUCCCUCGGGGCACCCCUCUAGUACUUCUUUGGCCCAAGUUGUUCUUCUGGUCCAGAAAAAAUUCCGAAAAGUUUUGCUGCAUUUGGACUCCAUUUGAUAUAGAUUUUCUGCGAAGUAAAAAACAAGCAAAAACAGCAAAUGGCACUGGGCACUAUGUCAAUAGGUUAGUCCCAAAUAAUGAUAUGAAGUUGCUAUAAAAUGAUUGUAAAACAUCCAAGAAUGAUAAUAUAAUAGCAUGGAACAAGCAAAAAUUAAAGAUACAUUGGAGCCGUAUCAGCAUCCCCAAGCUUAAUUCCUACUCGUCCUCGAGUAGAUAAAUGAUAAAAACAGAAUUUUUGAUGUGGAAUGUUGCCUAACAUAUUCAUCACAUAUUAUUUUCUUUUGUAGCAUGGACAUUUGGACUUUUAUAUGAUUGAAAGCAAUAGUCUAGUUUUGACAUGAAGAUUUCAGUACUCAAGCAUAUUAACAAGCAACCAUGUCUUUCAAUAUAUCAACACUAAAGCAAGUUAUCCCUAGCCCAUUACACUCAAUCAUUGAUCCAUUCAUGAAACACACUCGCAUAUUAGCUACACCCAAUGCUCAAGUACGAUCAUAGUGCCCCUUAGUUGGUCCUUUAUAAGAGAAGAUGGAGACUCAAAAUAAAAGGAAAAAUUGCAUAAAGUAAAUAGAAAGGCCCUUCGUAGAGGGAAGUAGUGAUUUGUAGAGGUGCCAGAGCUCAAAGCAAAAAAGAUAGAGAUAAAACAUUUUGGGUGGCAUGCUUUUCCUGUCAACGAAAACAAUCGAGUAGUUCCCAAUACUUUCCAUGCUAGAUAUAUCAUUUGCAGUUCCCAAACAAAAAAUGAAGUUUAUUCAUUUUUCCACCAUACUUUCACAUUCCAUGGCUAACCGUAUCCAUGGGUGCCAUCCAUACCAGCACUUUCCAAUGAAUUUAUUAUUUGACAACAUAAAGUAAAUUCUUUUUUUUCAUUUUGGGACUGGGCAUCCCUAAUACCUUUGUCAUACUCUCGUGCAAUGACAACUGAAUAAACACUCAUCUUGAGAAUAAUACAUCUAGCAUGGAAAAAUAUCAGCCACCCCCUACCGUUUCAUGAGCGGUACAAGCACACAAAAAGGAAAUUAUUUUGAAAAUUAGAGAUGGCACAUACAAAUUUGCAAUGGCAAGAAAAUACCGCAUAUAGGUAGGUAUGGUGGACACAUAUGGCAAAACUGGGUUUAAGGAUUUUAGAUGCACAAGUAGUAAUCCCACUUAGUACAAGGGAAGGCUAGCAAAAAGAUUGAGAAGCAUCCAACCAACAAACGAAAAAUCACAUAAGCGAGCAUUAAGCAUAACUAACACCGAAUAAUGCACCACGAGUAGGAUGUAAUUUCAUUGCAUAACUGUUGACUUUCAUGCUUGCAUAGGGAAUCACAAGCCUUAACACCAAUAUUCUUACUAAAGCAUAAUUACUCAUCAACAUGACUCACAUAUUAUAUUGUCAUAUCGCAAAACUAUUACAAGGAAUCAAGUUUAUUUUGUCCAAUGCUUAGUGCUUUUAUCUUAUGUGUAGUUUAUUCUUCUUAUUCUUGUACUCAUAAGUUAGCCACCAUACAAUGCUUAGUGCUUGCUACAACCUCACCACUUAUCCAUUCCAUACCCAUUAAGCUUUGCUAGUCUUGAAACCCAUGGUAAUGGGAUUGCCGAGUCCUCGUGGCUCACAGAAUACUACAACAACAGGUGCAGGUACAAGUAAUGUGAUGAUCUCACAUGAGAGCGAUGCUUGCUUGUUUUGGAGUUUUCUUCUACUUCUUCUUCUUCUUCUUUGAUCAAGGGAUGGGUUAUGGGUCAGGAGCCUGGGAUUAGCAUGGUGAGUGUUGUUCUUCUUUUUCAUUUGAUUUCAUCCGUAGUCGGAUCCUGCUCUUCUAUAUGAUGAUUGCUAUGUAUGUAUUGAGGUAUUCCUGUUGUAGCUUGUGGCGAGUGUAAGCCUUUAUCUGGUAUUCUCAUCUAUUUAGUAUAUCGUAUGUUGUAAUGAUAUCCACCUUGCUAUGCAUUUGAAAUGUGAUUUUGCCCCAAUCAUGAAUUACUCACGUGAUCGAGAUAGAAUUGCAUCUUGGGCGCUACAAGGGACGUGAUACUAAUUCACAUAAUAGAAAAUAUAAUUGUGGAUUGACAAGGGCGACCAACUUUCAGUGCGAAUGUUUGUGAUUCCUGGUUUUCUCAGAAUAUUCAAGAUGACAAGGCAACCUAAAUUUUAGUGUGCAGAGUAUUUGUUUGCAAUUAAACUAGAGAAUAUAUGUAUAUGUUUAGGUGGCUUUAGGGCUCCCUUGUAUUGUCUUGCCCUGGGCCUCGAAAUCCCAGGACUGGUACUGGGUGCAACUUUUAUCAAUAGCACAUGAUCCACUUUUUUGUACCAGUGUAGAUCUGGAAUCAAAAUGAACACCUCAGCAAAAUCAGAUUGGAGACGAAAGAAAUCAUCUAUAAUCACGCAUGCAUGCCUCGGCAAAACCUUGCAGGGAAAAAGAAAGUAGAUUUCUCAUCUUAUGUUGAGAGAGACACACCUUAGGAUUGACCACAUUCAAACGCAUUGUAAUUGUGUGAGCACUAAGGCGAGGGUGGGAAGAAGGAUUAGCGAUAACACAGAUGGGAUGCACGUGGACCUAUUUGGGUCUUGAGUCAUGGUUAUUGAGUUAAGGGCGUGUAAUAUUUAUUUUUCUGGUGUUGCAACGCACGGGCUCUUUGCUAGUUAGCAAUAAAGGAAGACACGUGACAAAGGACGAAUGGAUAUCCUAAACCCGAGAAAUUGAAAGAAUAGAAGGAGUUGUGUACAAACAAAAAGUCCUGGAAAAAUGUGCUAAAUGAAUCUUGUGAAUUCUGCAAACUGAUCGACCAUUCGUCUUCACAUGGGACAAAACAGAUCAUUCCUCAUGCCAUGUGAGAGAGCCAUUUGACCAGACUACACAAUGAGCGCAUCUCUGCAUGGAUGUGCACGUGGGGUAUGUUCGGCUAAUUUGUAUCAUCUAUCUAGAUCAGAAAUGUGGCAACUCUUGCAUGGACUAUAGAAGCAUCUACAACCAAAACCCUUCUCCUUCUAAAUGUUCACGCACGCAUUUUCAAUAGGGCUGAGAACAUAAGAGCAUCUACAGCGGGUCGGACUUGGCAAAUUCGGUCUCGAUACGCCUACGGGUGCGUCCGCGGAUAGCGCCUGACAAUCCCUCAUUUGAGUUGCUGCACAUCCAUGCACCUUAAAUGCAAAUUCUCAAAUCCAUGCACAUUGAUCAAAUCAUACAAAUCAUCUCAAUUCAACAGUUCGAAACAAAUACAACAAAUCAAAAUAAAUCAUUGUUCAACAAUCCGGACAUACAAAAAUGAUAUUAAUGUCCGAGCAUGAUGGAUCACUCGCUUGCUGCCAGAUCACCUGCCAGACCCCAUCCAUGUCGCCUGCCCUGCGGCUAUCCUCGCUUCCUGCUCCACCUACUCUGUUGCUGCCAUAGCCGCCCUCAUCGCCUCGUACUACCUAUGGUCGUUGAUCUCCUUCUUCAUCCCCACAAGCCACUUCUUUGCAUGCUCAUCCAAGAGGCUUUCAUCCGCUAAUAUUAUCUUCGCAUCCUCAACGUCCCGUGCAAUUUACAAUCUCUCCUUCUCAAGCUCAGUCUCUCCAACUCAAGCUCAGUCUCUCCAACUCAAGCUUAGUCUCUCCUUCUCAAGCUCAAGCUAUUGGCCUUAUCGAGCUCCCAUCUGAUCGCCGCCUCUUUUGUCUCCAACUCGAUAUUAUCCCUCCCAAUUUCCAGCUUCUUCUCCACCCUCUUCUGGUCCCAAUCCAUCCUCUUCUUUUGAGCAUCCAACAUGAGCUUUUACCUCUCCUCUUUCUUGUUCUCCCUAACCGGAAAAAAUGCAUGUCGAUAUGGAGGACUUUUUUGUAGCCACGGCGUCACGGAAGGCACUUGCCUUCCCCUACUUGUUUCCCAUUACUUGUCAGCUAUCCUUUGGUACAGUGGCUCUUCCAUUCUACACUACAACAUCUUCCUCUUCUUCGUCCAACCCAAUUUAUUGGUGACAGCUUGAGCCAUCUUCCUCUUCUUACUGGCCUUGAGAUCGGCCACAAGUUGUGUCCACUUUGAUUUGCCAUUCAAUAUCACCCAAUUGUGGCUAAAACUAAAUGGUUUCUUUUUCGUUUCUUAAUACAUAGUGGCCGCCACCACCAUCAAGCAAAAAAAUAUGUAUGAGCAUGAGAAUGCAACAAAAACAUGCAUAUGCAAUGAUGACAAGAUGAAGUAAUUUAGCUUACGUGAGUUGCCACUCCCAUCCCACUUUGAGGGCGGCCAAGCACUUGUCAAUAGUAGCGUACGUACUUGUUUACUCCUCCUUGAAUGACCCCCAUCAAUGUUGGAGAGAUGCCACAUUGAGGUUAGUGACGAUAGGAUGUGAAUCCACAUAUUGGUUUUGUUCAUGGUAUCCCUUUUGUCCGUGCCGCAUAUUGGGUCCAAUGUUGUGUCCAACCAAGAUUUGACAAACAAUAUAUCCUCAAAAGUUGAGAAUGUCGGACCUCUUACCUCAGAUUGGGAUUUUAUGUUGUCCCAACUUCAAAUGAAGGGCAACUUGGUUCCCCCUACUCGUAGUGCAUUUGGGUCGGAUCUUGAUUAUCAUUGAUCAUGUCCGACAUGAUAAACUCCUAAAUGAUCAUUGUUUCCAAGAAUGGAUCAUGCAAAACGCUGAACAUGGCAUAUGCAAAGUUGAUCAGAUAGGAGCAACAAGAACAUACCGAGUCUUGUUGUCUCAUUUCGUCGAAUAGAUCAUGGCAGCCUACGAGCCAUUGGUGUCCAUGCUUGUCCGCACCCGAGCGAGCUGCGGUGAGUGACAGACUCCCACCGACGGCAUGUGCAUAGGCGGAAAGCUCUCCAGAAUGCCCCAACUAGUCAUCAGAUCCUCCUCUGUCCCAACCUGAUCCGAUGGAGUGAUCCUUGUGGGCGGCUGGAUGGACGGGUAGUGGGGCCCGGGCGAGUCAGGGGGCAGCUGCUUAUCGAUGUCCGCAUCCACUCCCUGUAACAUUGUCGCUUCCCUCUCUUUCUGCCUCCAUCACUGGUCCCUCCGGGUGAUGUUCUUUGGCUUGCACGACGAAGCCGAGGACAGGAUGCCGAUGGACAAGGCGGAUGCAGCCUCGGUCACGGUGGCGGGGAUGGGCCGGACUACAUCUAGGGCGGCGGAUCGAGACCGGCGGCGAGGAUGGGGAGCAAGGGUGGCGGACAGCGAGGGCUCGGAAGCGGGAAAGUGUGGAGGGAGGCGGGACGAGGGGAAAUGUUUGGUGGAUUUGGUGCAAUUUGUGGUGGAGUAGGCCUAUCGAGUCCGACGUGGCGGAUGCGCCCGGGUGUGCCUAGGCAUCCCCAUAUCCGCCCUACCUUAGGGCUAGAUAUGAGGGGUGCCAACCAGCCCAGGCAUUUGAGGCCCACUUGAGGUGCCCGUUUGGAUUAGUUUUUUUAGCGGUCACUGAUCGGGUCAUACGUGCGAGUGUUUGAGGGGGGUUUGGGGUGCCCGGUUGUAGAUGCUCUAAAGUUUAGGUUGUCCGGCACCUCUCAUAUCGAGCUCAUAUGUGGGGUGGAUAUGGGGACGCCGAGAUGCGUCCAUCAUGUCGGAUCCGACACGUAGGUCUGACUCCAUGUCUUGCAAUUUGACCAAGUUAACCAAAUCGACUGCCACUCCGGUGUCUAUCCUCCCUUUCUCACCUCUGAGUCAGCGCCUCUUCCACCCUCACUCUACGUAUGCACUGUCCUUGACCAUUGUCCUAGAUGUGGAUGCCCACUACCUCAUCGGUCACCGCCAUGGCUCAGAGGAGUCUGUGGGUGUCCCUUUGUCAUGAGAAACCCGGAAACCAUUGCCAGAGGGAGCGACGCGUAGGCACCACGCCCAUGAAUCCAUGAGGAGGGAAGUCAUAGAGAGGGAAGCUACGAAAAAAGAGGUCAUCGACAUAGACUUGGUUGUGUCCGCUCCAUCUGCCCCGCCUGGUAGAAGGUACCGGCCCAUGGCCAUGCCCAAUGUCGUUCUGACCUUGCAAUGGUCGGGCAUCCAACAUUCGCAUUAUAUGAGUCACCGCAACUACAAUGGUCACGACCAACAUCAGGAAACACCAGCGCCGGGCAUGCCCACGUAUUGUUCGAUGAAACAGCCGACCUAGGCACACAGAUGCAGGUAUUUUUCUUGUCCUGUAUGCUUUAAUCCGAUCAAUUUUACGAUAUUUAUUUCAUUGUGAUGCAUAUUUUAGGACACAUACAUGAUGAAUGAAGGUCAAGGGCAUAUACAUUAUGAAUUGGGUGAUACCGAAUUACCUUUGUUUCAUGUUGGGCAAACAUCAGGCACUAAGAAAAAAGGCACCAAAGGCAAGAGGUCCGACAUUCACAAGCCUUGAAGAUGUGUUGUCAAGUGAAGCUUUGUUUUUGAUCCUACACAAGGUCCCCUCGACCAACCCAGAGGCAAGGUCAGUUAUGAAACUAGUAGUCCUAGCUAUCAUCCCCCUUUAUAUGGAGAGGCAAGGGGUAAGUCAAAGGCAUCUGACGCUAAGUUGACACCUCGGUAGCCAUUACCAUAUCCCAUCUAUAACCCCCUCAAAUGAGACGUUUUCACCAUUAAUUACUCCCACAAAGGAUGAUGGAGUACCGGCCUCUUGGGGGGCUUUGUGUGCGAGCACGCCCUCCACACCACCUGUUUCCAUGGGGCGUGCCGUGGGGGCCUCUCAAGGGCUCUCGGUGCCAUUCAAUCUCCCAGGACGUCACAGACCCGGGAGGCCCUCCUUGGUGGUCCAUGACGGGUGCACUACGGGCGCGCCUGGGGUGACCGAUCAUGGGGAGGCUCCAAUCGUGCUCGUGAGCAAGGCCUCACGCACCCGCACAUGCGCAAAGGGUAGUCCAGACCCAUGUGUUAGUGUGUGGACCCCGCUGGACUGGAUCGACCACGACAGGUGAGUCAUGCAUGUCGUCGCACCGCCGGCUCGCGCGUGGCCCUCUAGCCAAACCUUCCUAUCAGUGUCUUUGCCUCGCGUCAGGAGUCUGCGUGAUGCGCUCGCGAUCGUCUGAUAUCGAUGGACGCGUCGCACAAGGCAUAUUUUCCUUAGGGGUCCAUGACGUGUGGUCCGCGGGAGCGGCUAGGGCCACCUCUUUGUGUUGGUAUUGUGUCGAGCCAACGUGUGCCUUCCCAUGCAUUGUUCCGCCUGCGUGUCAGUUCAUGUGUGGGCUCAGUCAGUCAGGACGCAGAGGUGUCUGGUCUACCCGAACACGUAGGGGCUUGGCCUAGUUGCGUGUGGAGGGGUGUCCUAGACAGCCCUUGCUAGCGCGGGCUCUGGCUAGGGCCUGUAGGGCGCUGUCUGGUCGGAGAGGGUUGUUCGGAUGUUGGGCAUUGGGUGGUCGCUAUCUGCCUUCUCGCCCCCGUCGCCCUCGACCAACGCGUGCCGUUUCAUUCAUUUGUUCGGGGCGUAUGAUGUUUGGGUUACCAGCUAUAGGCAGCCAUCUUGCUUGGGGUUUUCCCAAUUGUUCGUGCUCGCGUAUGUUUUUUGGACCCCGCAUGGCUAUCCCACGCAACACACCACCCAUCACCCCACCGAUUUCUUCGUGCCUGCGCAUUCGGGCACAUUGUGGGGCCACUGUUUUUUUGGUUGGGUAAACCAUGCUCGGCUAUUUUACUUUAUCUCUUUCGAUCCAAACGUCUGGUCCUAUCCGACCAAAGUUCGGAUGGAGUUGUGUUCAUUUUAUCUGGUUGGUUUUGUACGGCCAACGUCCGCGUGGAGAUGUGUUCGUUCCAUUCGGUUGGUCGUAUCCGUCCGGUGCUCACGUGGUUUGUGUUUGUUAUAUGCUCCUUUGGUCGGUGGACAGUUUGCAUGCUUAUGCAAAUGAUGUCCGGUAGUGGCCCCUCCCAGUUGCCCCUAUGCUAGUGGCUUUGGUUAGUGUUUAGGUCAGUUGAGCCCAUUGGUUGGUGUCCUUGUGACUGUCACUCUACUAAAUAAAAGCAUGUGGUUGCCUUUGCUUUUCUCCUCCUUUCUUCUUCCCAACGUCGUCGUUGCCUUACUUUUUGCUCCGCGGAUCUCUGUCUUCCCUUUGUUGGAGAUGCUCUUCGAGCUCGUCCCUUCCAUCUGGUUGUUUCUUCAUGCUUUUCUUGCCUGCCGGUGUGGCCUUCGUCUUUCAUGUCGAUUGAGGUUGUUCUUCUUUCCUUUAUCUCGGUCUUCUUUUCUUAUUUAAUUGCGCUCUCUCUUCAUUCAUUCUUUUAGGUCUUUCAAGCUCUUAUUGUCAUUGAUGGGCGGCUAUAUUGUUGCUUGAGGUGGGCUCAUGUUUUUUUGUCAGUAGAGAUCAUGAUGGCAUUCUUUAUCCUCUAUCUUGGUUCGUGCUUUUCAUAUCGCCUAAUUUCAUUUUUGGUCCGUGCGGUAGAUACGACAGUAGUGAGUUGUUGGAAACUAUUGGUUUCGCAGCAUGUGGCUAGCACAGUAUGUUUUAUUUUUUGCAUCGAGACUUCUUCUUUGAUGGACAAUGACUUGUUUUUCGUUUGUUCCCUGCGGUGACAUUUUAUUGCUAACGUAUUUCUGUGCGGUUUGGAGUUCCUGGUUUUGUCUGCAAUUCCUGUGUCCUUAUCAUGAAUCAUUGUAGACUGCUGCUUCAUGAACCGAAGCUGACGACGAUGAUAUAUAUAUAUAUAUAUAUAUAUAUAUAUAUAUAUAUAUAUAUAUAUAUAUAUAUAUAUAUAUAUAUAUAUAUAUAUAUAUAUACAGCCCGUAUAUUCUGAUAAUAUCAUCAGAAUAUUUAUUCUGAUAACACUUCCGUACUGCAUGCUCAAUGCGAGAGCACUGCACUUUCUUUAACAAGAGCACUGCAUUACACACACUAGUGAACUUCGUGUCGGAAAAAACUGCGCGUAGUAUUUUUUUUCGGUACUGUUUUUGCUCUAAUUUUUUAAUCGUUUAUUGGAACGAGGCGUCUAAUAUACCGUUGGAAAGCUACGGAUUAGGCGCAACUUCGUCAUGUUGAACACUUUUCGAGAUUCCUCACAGUUUAAGAGCAGUUUUGAAAAUGGUGCGGCCCACAACGAGUGGCAGCGAGCGUUUUUUCGCAUUUUUUUUCUAAACCGUUCGUCGGAAUGAAGUAAAUGAUACACCGUUGGAUAGAUAUCGUCGAGGCGCAUCUUUUUCAUAUCUAUGUCUUUCUCUAAUUCGUUACGGUUUAAGAGCAGUUUCAAAUUUACUAAAUCGCGGAAUUCUGUUUUUCAAAAAAAUUCAAAUUUUCAGUACUGUUUUCGCUCUAGUUUUUUAACCGUUUGUCGAAACGAGGCGUGUAAUAUGUCGUCGGAAAGCUAUGGACAAGGCACAACUUUCAUAUGUAGAAAUGGUUUUGAGAUUCUUUAUGGUUUUUAGUUAAUUUCGAAAAUCGUGCGGCUGAUGACGAGAGGCAGCGGCCGUUUUUCGCGAAAUUUUUACAAACCGCUAGUCGGAAUGAUUCAAACAAUACGCCAUUGGAAAGAUAUCGACGAGCCGCAACUUUUUCAUGUAGAACACUCUCUCUAAUUCUUUACGGUUUAAGAGGGAUUUCGAUUUUACCGAAAUGCGGACACUCUGUUUUUCGCGACACCUAAAUCGACGUGGGUACUUCAUCCGACUGAAAACCGCACUGCUUUGGACGAAAAAGCCGCACUGCAUCAGACGGGUAAGAGAACUGCAUGGUUUCUUUUAUUCAAACGUAAUUUUUUUAAGGACGAGAAAGUAGAGUGCACUUCACAUCGGGUGUAAAUGAACCACAACACUAUCAAGAAGUGAACCGCAUUACUUAUUUGUGGUACGUAAAUUUUUCUAAACGAGGUGGAGUGCACUUCAUGUCGAGUGUUGAUGAACCACAAGACUAUGAAAAGUGAACCUCCACACUACCGUAAACGGGCCGUACUGCAUCAGACAAAAAACCGCACUUCAUUGGACAGACAAGUGCACUGCAUGAUUUUCUUUUUUGUGGGACGUAAAUUGUCCCAAACGAGGUGGAGUGCACUCCUUCAUACUAAAAACCGCACUUCAUCAAAACGGACAAGUGUACUGCAUAAUUUCCUUUGUCGGACGUAAAUUUUUCCCAAGCGAGAAUGUGGAGUGCGAUUCAUGUCGGGCCUAAGUGAACCGCAACACUAUCAAGAAGUGAACCGCAUUAUUUAUUUUUUUGUCCCCGUAACAAUUUUUUGUACUACACCACUUUUUGUUUCAAAAAAUAGUUAGAUUUUAGUAGUUUUUCUUUAAAAUGAAUUGCAUUUUUAGAGGGGAUGUGAACUUCUCAAGAGUUUUUAUUAUCCUGUUUUUCUUCACCAAGUAAACCACAUGAGGGUUUACAUCAAACUGCAUCUAUCUUUUAACAUUAUUGACAAAUAGGUCGCUGGAUUUUAGUCAACAGGUCUCAAAACUAAAAUACAAAUACAAUCGGUUCCUUUUUCUUUUGCACAACUGCUCAGUAAACGAUGGUCGUGUGCUACCACUGUUUUGGACUAAAGUGCUGCACCAUUUGUCGUUGUUGAGAAGAAACAAAAUAAUUUUGCUAGUACUACACCACUUUUUGCUAGUGCACUGCAUGACUAAGUAGAAAACUAACGACGAUUUUGCGAGUACUGCACCACUUUUACGAGUGCACUGCAUGACUAAGUAUAAAACUAACGACCAGACAGCCUCAUGCAAUUUUUCUGAAAAUGAAAAAACAAUCAACUUCACAACAGCCACCGGCAACACACGCGUCGCGAACCGUAUACACACACGCGUUGUACUGCAUGGAUGUGCCAGCGGACUUCAUGGAGGGAGGCUCGCUGUCCAAACUGUAUGAUCAGGGAAACAGAAAAAAUGCAAUGCUGCAUCAAACCGCACUCUACCACUUUCUUCCUACAAGAACAAGUAAAUUGAACCUGAUGAGCAAACAAUAGUGGGCUACAUUUACACUUGAUAAGAAAAACACCAAAACAACGAUCUGCUCCAGGACCAUAGUGCACCCAGUUUCUCCCAGGAGCGAGCCUUCCUCCAUGCAGUUUCUCCCAGUAGUCUGCACGCCAAGAUGUGGUUUCUCGUCAGAGGACAUGAGGGGGAGAUGCAGAAGCAAUGAGAAGAUGCAAGUCACAAACGAACCGCGUGCCGAGCUCAUCCCUGGUGCAUGAAUGGCCGAUGGAUCCGGCGCCUGGCGUGGCAGCACGCGAGGCAUCCGGUGGAGGAGAUUGGCCGGGAGGAGGGAAGGGCGAUUUUCGGCGAGGUCGGUGGCUUCUUGACCCCCGAAACCUCCCUGGAUCCUACACCCCAUCACGUCGCGGUGGUUGAAG
This 19694-nucleotide long non-coding RNA is filed under the name Triticum aestivum (bread wheat). RNAcentral's name for it is "long non-coding RNA (TAES_LNC010407)". The record is from RNAcentral. Lineage: Eukaryota; Viridiplantae; Streptophyta; Magnoliopsida; Poales; Poaceae.